Molecule: transfer RNA, 62 nt
Filed under: Myanophis thanlyinensis
Lineage: Eukaryota; Metazoa; Chordata; Lepidosauria; Squamata; Homalopsidae
Description: tRNA-Met
Source: RNAcentral
AGCAAAGUCAGCUAAACAAGCUAUCGGGCCCAUACCCCGAAAAUGUCAUACGACCUUUGCUA